RNAcentral lists this ribosomal RNA (571 nucleotides) under Ulva cf. intestinalis BW-2013 (clade H). RNAcentral describes it as "eukaryotic LSU rRNA". The stretch from base 208 to 362 matches the Rfam family "5.8S ribosomal RNA". The record is from RNAcentral. Lineage: Eukaryota; Viridiplantae; Chlorophyta; Ulvophyceae; Ulvales; Ulvaceae.
GGAGGGAUCAUUGAAACCGAUCAAACCAACCCCAGCGAACUUGCGGGCCGCUCUCGUGGUGGCCCGCCGUAUUCGGAACCGCCGGUGGGAGGGGGUGGUGGUGCUCACGCGCCGCCCCCCCUUGCGCCGUGCGGGGCCUCCCAACCCAUUGAACCUUCUGCCCUAAAGCAACUUCGCAUGGGGACACCCCUGCGAUCUAACUGAGACAACUCUCAACAACGGAUAUCUUGGCUCUCGCAACGAUGAAGAACGCAGCGAAAUGCGAUACGUAGUGUGAAUUGCAGAAUUCCGUGAGUCAUCGAAUCUUUGAACGCACAUUGCCGGUCGAGUCUUCGGAUGAGACCACAUCUGCCUCAGCGUCGGGAUACCCCCUCACCCGCUCACGCGGGUGGACCUGGCCCCCCCGGCCGGCCCCUCGCGGGCUGGCCGGGCCGGCUGAAAUACAGAGGCUCGUGCGCGGCCCAUUCGUGGCCCCGACUAGGUAGGUAGCUCGCUACUUCUAGGCGGCGGCUCGGUGUCGCGUGCUGUGAGCCCCAAGGAACAUCCUUUCCAUUCGACCUGAGUUCAGGUG